RNAcentral lists this ribosomal RNA (257 nucleotides) under uncultured Glomus. Its description in RNAcentral is "partial 18S ribosomal RNA". It matches the Rfam family "Eukaryotic small subunit ribosomal RNA", at positions 624 to 886 of the family's 1831-position model. Lineage: Eukaryota; Fungi; Glomeromycota; Glomeromycetes; Glomerales; Glomeraceae. The record is from RNAcentral.
AAGCUCGUAGUUGAAUUUCGGGAUUAGUACGUCGGUCGCGCCUUAGGUACGUACUGGUGUUACUGGUUCCUACCUUCUGACGAACCAUCAUGUCAUUAAUUUGGUGUGGUGGGGAAUCAGGACUGUUACUUUGAAAAAAUUAGAGUGUUUAAAGCAGGCUCGCGCUUGAAUACAUUAGCAUGGAAUAAUGAAAUAGGACGUUGAUCCUAUUUUGUUGGUUUCUAGGAUUGACGUAAUGAUUAAUAGAGAUAGUUGGG